GGUGGCUCAGUGGUAGAGUACUUGCCUUGCAUGCAUGAGGCCCAGAGUUCGAUUCCUCAGCACCA
Molecule: non-coding RNA, 65 nt
Organism: Dipodomys ordii (Ord's kangaroo rat)
Lineage: Eukaryota; Metazoa; Chordata; Mammalia; Rodentia; Heteromyidae
Source: Rfam